UGGGGAAUAUUGCACAAUGGGCGAAAGCCUGAUGCAGCAACGCCGCGUGAGUGAUGAAGGUCUUCGGAUUGUAAAGCUCUGUCUUUUGGGACGAUAAUGACGGUACCAAAGGAGGAAGCCACGGCUAACUACGUGCCAGCAGCCGCGGUAAUACGUAGGUGGCGAGCGUUGUCCGGAUUUACUGGGCGUAAAGGGUGCGUAGGCGGAUGUUUAAGUGAGAUGUGAAAUACCCGGGCUUAACUUGGGUGCUGCAUUUCAAACUGGGUAUCUAGAGUGCAGGAGAGGAGAAUGGAAUUCCUAGUGUAGCGGUGAAAUGCGUAGAGAUUAGGAAGAACACCAGUGGCGAAGGCGAUUCUCUGGACUGUAACUGACGCUGAGGCACGAAAGCGUGGGUAGCAAACAGGAUUAGAUACCCUGGUAG
RNAcentral lists this ribosomal RNA (421 nucleotides) under uncultured bacterium. RNAcentral's name for it is "partial 16S ribosomal RNA". It matches the Rfam family "Bacterial small subunit ribosomal RNA", at positions 355 to 793 of the family's 1533-position model. The record is from RNAcentral.